GCAAGUCGAGCGCACUCUUCGGAGUGAGCGGCGGACGGGUGAGUAACGUGUGGGAACGUGCCUUGGGGUAAGGAAUAACAGCUGGAAACGGCUGCUAAUACCUUAUGAUGUCUACGGACCAAAGAUUUAUCGCCCUAAGAUCGGCCCGCAUUGGAUUAGCUAGUUGGAGAGGUAACGGCUCACCAAGGCUACGAUCCAUACCUGGUUUGAGAGGAUGAUC
Molecule: ribosomal RNA, 220 nt
Filed under: uncultured bacterium
Lineage: Bacteria
Description: partial 16S ribosomal RNA
Rfam family: Bacterial small subunit ribosomal RNA
Source: RNAcentral